This 480-nucleotide ribosomal RNA is filed under the name Pungitius pungitius (ninespine stickleback). Its description in RNAcentral is "partial 12S ribosomal RNA". It matches the Rfam family "Bacterial small subunit ribosomal RNA", at positions 848 to 1525 of the family's 1533-position model. Lineage: Eukaryota; Metazoa; Chordata; Actinopteri; Perciformes; Gasterosteidae. The record is from RNAcentral.
AAUUUUACAACCUCUAUCCGCCCGGGGACUACAAGCAUCAGCUUGAAACCCAAAGGACUUGGCGGUGCUUUAGAUCCACCUAGAGGAGCCUGUUCUAGAACCGAUAACCCCCGUUCAACCUCACCCCUCUUUGUUAAUACCGCCUAUAUACCACCGUCGUCAGCUUACCCUGUGAGGGAUCAAUAGUAAGCUUAACUGGUACAACCCUAAACGUCAGGUCGAGGUGUAGCGUAUGGAGGGGGAAGAAAUGGGCUACAUUCGCUACAACAGCGAACACGAAUGAUGUCCUGAAACGUACAUCUGAAGGAGGAUUUAGCAGUAAGUAGAAAAUAGAGUGUUCUACUGAAAUUGGCCCUGAAGCGCGCACACAUCGCCCGUCACUCUCCCCAAGCCUAAUAAUACAAUUAACUAAAAACUAAUAAUUGCAAAGGGGAGGCAAGUCGUAACAUAGUAAGUGUACCGGAAGUGCACUUGGAAAAG